This 654-nucleotide ribosomal RNA is filed under the name Sarcocystis hjorti. RNAcentral describes it as "SSU rRNA". It matches the Rfam family "Eukaryotic small subunit ribosomal RNA", at positions 455 to 1077 of the family's 1831-position model. Lineage: Eukaryota; Apicomplexa; Conoidasida; Eucoccidiorida; Sarcocystidae. The record is from RNAcentral.
CUCAGGGAGGUAGUGACAAGAAAUAACAACACUGGAAAUUUUAUUUCUAGUGAUUGGAAUGAUGGGAAUUUAAACCCCUUUCAGAGUAACAAUUGGAGGGCAAGUCUGGUGCCAGCAGCCGCGGUAAUUCCAGCUCCAAUAGCGUAUAUUAAAGUUGUUGCAGUUAAAAAGCUCGUAGUUGGACGUCUGUUGGAAGCAAUCAGUCCGCCCUAUUUGUAGGGUGUGCACUUGAUGAGUUCUGGCAUCUAUGUCCUAAUGUGAUAGAUACGGCGGUGUAUAUGGGUUAAUCCUAUAUACCCGUUUUUGUAUAUUAUAUUGGGAUAAUACCGUUACUUUGAGAAAAUUAGAGUGUUUGAAGCAGGCUAAUUGCCUUGAAUACUGCAGCAUGGAAUAACAAUAUAGGAUUUCGGUUCUAUUUUGUUGGUUUCUAGGACUGAAAUAAUGAUUAAUAGGGACAGUUGGGGGCAUUCGUAUUUAACUGUCAGAGGUGAAAUUCUUAGAUUUGUUAAAGACGAACUACUGCGAAAGCAUUUGCCAAAGAUGUUUUCAUUAAUCAAGAACGAAAGUUAGGGGCUCGAAGACGAUCAGAUACCGUCGUAGUCUUAACCAUAAACUAUGCCGACUAGAGAUAGGAAAAUGUCAUUUUGCUGACUU